UACAGAGGUCUCGAGCGUUAGUCGGAAGUCACUGGGCUUAAAGCGUACGUAGGCGGAUAUGCAGGCGUCGUGUGAAAUCCCUUGGCUCGACCAAGGAACUGCACGGCGAACCGCAUGUCUUGAGAUCGGUAGGGGCGGUCGGAACGAUAGGUGGAGUGGUGAAAAUGCGUUGAUAUCUAUCGGAACGCCCGAAGGUGAAAAGCAGGCCGCUGGGCCGAUUCUGACGCUGGAGGUACGAAAGCGUGGGGAGCGAACGGG
Molecule: ribosomal RNA, 258 nt
Filed under: uncultured bacterium
Lineage: Bacteria
Description: partial 16S ribosomal RNA
Rfam family: Bacterial small subunit ribosomal RNA
Source: RNAcentral